UACGUAGGGUGCGAGCGUUAAUCGGAAUUACUGGGCGUAAAGCGUACGCAGGCGGCUUUGCAAGACAGGUGUGAAAUCCCCGGGCCUAACCUGGGAACUGCAUUUGUGACUGCAUGGCUAGAGUUUGUCAGAGGGGGGUGGAAUUCCACGUGUAGCAGUGAAAUGCGUAGAUAUGUGGAGGAACACCGAUGGCAAAGGCAGCCCCCUGGGAUGUGACUGACGCUCAUGUACGAAAGCGUGGGGAGCAAACAGG
RNAcentral lists this ribosomal RNA (253 nucleotides) under uncultured bacterium. RNAcentral's name for it is "partial 16S ribosomal RNA". It matches the Rfam family "Bacterial small subunit ribosomal RNA", at positions 524 to 776 of the family's 1533-position model. The record is from RNAcentral.